RNAcentral lists this ribosomal RNA (147 nucleotides) under uncultured bacterium. RNAcentral's name for it is "partial 16S ribosomal RNA". It matches the Rfam family "Bacterial small subunit ribosomal RNA", at positions 346 to 509 of the family's 1533-position model. The record is from RNAcentral.
AGGCAGCAGUCGGGAAUAUUGCGCAAUGGAGGAAACUCUGACGCAGUGACGCCGCGUAUAGGAAGAAGUUUUUCGGAAUGUAAACUAUUGUCGUUAGGGAAGAGAAAGGACAGUACCUAAGGAGGAAGCUCCGGCUAACUACGUGCC